RNAcentral lists this ribosomal RNA (1343 nucleotides) under uncultured bacterium. Its description in RNAcentral is "16S ribosomal RNA". It matches the Rfam family "Bacterial small subunit ribosomal RNA", at positions 28 to 1378 of the family's 1533-position model. The record is from RNAcentral.
GACGAACGCUUUCGGCGUGCUUAACACAUGCAAGUCGAACGGAAAGGCCCUGCUUUUGUGGGGUGCUCGAGUGGCGAACGGGUGAGUAACACGUGAGUAACCUGCCCUUGACUUUGGGAUAACUUCAGGAAACUGGGGCUAAUACCGGAUAGGAGCUCCUGCUGCAUGGUGGGGGUUGGAAAGUUUCGGCGGUUGGGGAUGGACUCGCGGCUUAUCAGCUUGUUGGUGGGGUAGUGGCUUACCAAGGCUUUGACGGGUAGCCGGCCUGAGAGGGUGACCGGCCACAUUGGGACUGAGAUACGGCCCAGACUCCUACGGGAGGCAGCAGUGGGGAGUAUUGCACAAUGGGCGGAAGCCUGAUGCAGCAACGCCGCGUGCGGGAUGACGGCCUUCGGGUUGUAAACCGCUUUCGCCUGUGACGAAGCGUGAGUGACGGUAAUGGGUAAAGAAGCACCGGCUAACUACGUGCCAGCAGCCGCGGUGAUACGUAGGGUGCGAGCGUUGUCCGGAUUUAUUGGGCGUAAAGGGCUCGUAGGUGGUUGAUCGCGUCGGAAGUGUAAUCUUGGGGCUUAACCCUGAGCGUGCUUUCGAUACGGGUUGACUUGAGGAAGGUAGGGGAGAAUGGAAUUCCUGGUGGAGCGGUGGAAUGCGCAGAUAUCAGGAGGAACACCAGUGGCGAAGGCGGUUCUCUGGGCCUUUCCUGACGCUGAGGAGCGAAAGCGUGGGGAGCGAACAGGCUUAGAUACCCUGGUAGUCCACGCUGUAAACGGUGGGUACUAGGUGUGGGGUCCAUUUCACGGGUUCCGUGCCGUAGCUAACGCUUUAAGUACCCCGCCUGGGGAGUACGGCCGCAAGGCUAAAACUCAAAGGAAUUGACGGGGCCCCGCACAAGCGGCGGAGCAUGCGGAUUAAUUCGAUGCAACGCGUAGAACCUUACCUGGGUUUGACAUGGAUCGGGAGUGCUCAGAGAUGGGUGUGCCUCUUUUGGGGUCGGUUCACAGGUGGUGCAUGCCUGUCGUCAGCUCAUGUCGUGAGAUGUUGGGUUAAGUCCCGCAACGAGCGCAACCCUUGUUCACUGUUGCCAGCACGUUAUGGUGGGGACUCAGUGGAGACCGCCGGGGUCAACUCGGAGGAAGGUGGGGAUGACGUCAAGUCAUCAUGCCCCUUAUGUCCAGGGCUUCACGCAUGCUACAAUGGCUGGUACAGAGAGUGGCGAGCCUGUGAGGGUGAGCGAAUCUCGGAAAGCCGGUCUCAGUUCGGAUUGGGGUCUGCAACUCGACCUCAUGAAGUCGGAGUCGCUAGUAAUCGCAGAUCAGCAACGCUGCGGUGAAUACGUUCCCGGG